AAAAUCUUAUUUUCAGCAUUCUUGAAAAACCAUUCGAGCAGUCAAUAGAUUCUCCAUCAAGCCUCAUCCACUCCCCUGGUUGUUCAGUCCCCAAUUGUGAUCCUUGGUAAACUCUUCACCUCCUUAAUCGUUCCUUCUUCAAUUAGAAAAACUAGGGUUCAUGCGUGUUUGUACAAUGACAGCGGAAAACUCAACCGCUGCCAGAACCAAUCCGCUCCACGUUCUGCUUCUACACUCCCUUAUAUUCCACUCUGCAAUCCCCAUCUCCUCUUUAACUCUUAUCGCCUUGACUUAGAUAACCUUAACCAUCACCACCUAUGAUUGUACGGCAAUCAUCGCACAACCACCAGCACAACGACAAGAAUGGAUCGACAACCGUCACACCACCACUCCCUCAACAGCCGCAUCAGCGUCGAACUUUCGGCAAUCUAUUGUAAUCUCAUGUCUCUCUGAGAUCAUAUUCAAUCGGAAGGUUCUAAUCAGGGAUCGUUCUCGGAUGUAAUCGUGAAGGUUGUAGGCGAUACGUAUCAUCUUCACCGUUUAAUUCUCUCUCAUAACUCAUAUUUUAGGUUUUCGAUUUUGAUAUUUUGAAUUCUGUUUUUGUCUACGGAUGCAUUAGGUUGUUGAUUGUUGUUUUCAUGCUUUUGUUUACUGUGUUUCGUUGGUGAGUGUGUUUGUGCAGAGUUAUUUUCCGUCAAUGACGAAGAUCAUUGGUAUUAUCGUACUAAAAUUGAGAUUUGUGGAAGUUAUUUUGUGGUUUCUCAUGGCUGGAAUGUCUGAAAGGAAAUUGUUGAUGGCAAUGGGAAGGCUGCAAAAGGUGGAAGAGGAGGACAAAAUAGUUCUGCCUUGCUGCUGUUGUGCAAGUAGCAACUGCAAACCCACGACCUACCUGUUGAUCAUAAUGAACCAACAUAUUGUUUCUGCAACCAAGUUAGCUAUGGGGAGAUGGUUGCGUGCGACAAUCCUGAUGCAAAUUGAUUUCAAUUUUACAUCAUACAUUCAAUUUUACAAACCCUAAAUCUCAUCUACGGCUUCAUCUCUAACGAUUGUACCUGGCCAUACCCACUCCAGAAAUCCCUAAAUCUCAAGCAUUCAAACUCUCAUCUAGAUAUAGAAUUGUCGAAUGGGUUUUGAUUUUGUCGCUCAAUCCAACCAGAUAACUUCAAACAGAGCUCGCCAGAGAGUUCAGAGACCGGACGGUGGUGCUCGGAGUAAAGCUAGAUGAGCAGAGCAGAGUGAAGAACUUGACGGACGGGGCUGCCGUUGUUUGAAGAUUUAAUUAGAACAAUUGAGCAAGAAGGUAUCUUUUAUGUUGCAGGAUAUGCAUACACACCAAAGGAAGGUUCAAUUGUGCCGGCGAACUGAUUGAAAAGAGGCAAACUGAUUGAAAAGGUUUUCCGGCGAAGCAACUGACGCCCUCAGCAGGAAAUAGCAGACACGCCAUGUUUUGUUUUCCUCUGGGUUGGUGAUCCUUGAACAAGGUCGAUAAUGUCUAAAGAAGUGGGGGAUCCGUAGGUGUGAGGAUAUAUAUCUUUGGUGAAGACCAAUAAAACCACUACAACACCUUGAUUGCGCAAUGUUUCACAUACUUAUUUCAGCGCUCAAAGGAGCACAGUUUGAUGGGCAUAAUAGGAACUGUUAGGCGAACUGAUGGUCACAUAAUGCAUGCCAACGUUGAUUCAGUACUUGAAUCUGAAACAUUUACCAUGGAGGAAGAUCUGGUAAUAAAGUUAAACUGAUGUUCCUUCUUACUUGGAUUUGUUUUCAUCCGGGCUACGUAAAUGCUCCGGUGUUCUUCUUUAUGGUCCUCCUGGUACCGGGAAGGUAUUACAUAUCGUUUAAAUCAUUUAAUAUUUCUUAGCAUAUUGUCAUUAUUGUUAUAUUUUCUGCUAUAACCAUCUAAAACAUAUGUUGCUUUCAUAUACUUUGUUGGCAAACGUUGUUGCAACCGAAUGUUCUCUUAAUUUUCUAAGUGUUAAAGGGCCUGAAUUGAUCAACAUGUACAUAGGAGAAUCAGAGAAAAAUGUAAGAGACAUAUUUCAGAAGGCACGCGCAGCCUGCCCGUGUGUCAUCUUCUUUGAUGAGUUGGAUUCUCUAGCUCCAGCCCGAGGUGCUUCUGGUGAUUUUGGGGGAGUUAUGGACCGUGUCGUUUCUCAGGUUGGAAGAAUGACUCUUAGUGGUUUGUUGGCUUUGGGAUACAACAUUGUUCUUUAUUAUAAACGGGAAUCUAAGCCAAUCAUUUAUGGAGAUCUUUCAAUGUCUCAAGAGACCAUAGACACUCUUUAUGAAAAUAAAUAAUUCUCAGGGGUAGAAAUAGAAAAAUGGUUGAAUCAGAUGCAUCAAGACUGGGAAUCACAGGCCCUUGGAUCAUUAAAUCAUAUCUUGAAAUGAUUCUGAUUUUAUCUCACUUCAUAUGUCACUUACCCCUGCUACUUUAAAGGUGUUUAAUGAUGCAACCUUUGCAAAGAUGAAGAAAGGAGUUCGAAUCAUCAACGUGGCACCGGGUGGAGUGAUCGAUGAAGUUGCCUUAUUGAGGGACCAUGAUUCUGGUAUUAUUGCACAAGGAACAUUAGAUGUGUGCAUGAACUUUACAAGGUGAACUUUCUGCAACUUAUGUUAACGCGCUAAUGGUGUAGUAAAAGACUAUACUAAGACAUUUUAAGAAAUCGUAAGCAUCACUAGAGACGAUUGAGUAUAGGUAAUUUUAAGAAAUCAUAAAGUCUAACUUAUGAGGAAAGAACCUGAUGAGGUAAUAAACUUAAAUAGUUUGUUGAUUUGUUUUCCAUCUUUGUUAUAUUGAUUUCUGGUAGGGACUUUGUGUUUGCUUCUUUAGGUUGUAAUAUUUCAAGAUGGGACGUAUCUGACUUUACGAGAAGUUUUUGAGAACUUGGAUUUAACUGGGUAAAACUAAUCAUCCGAACUUAAUGGUUUGUGAAUGAUAAAAUAAGAAGACGACAAUAUACAUUCUUGAUAGAUGCGUUCCAGUGGAGGAAGUAACUUUAUAAAAUUUUAACUGGUUCAGAUUAUUUUAGUUCAGUUUGUGCCAAUUUAGAAGUGUUCCAAGUUAGGCCAGCACCACCCUUACAUGUCUCCCCCAACAUGACCAUUGUCACCACCACCGUGGCUGUCAUAAAGCACCAUCGUUAGCCGAGGAUCAAGAUCCAAGCCCUGAAACGGUCAAUUGUGAUGGAAUUUGGUCAUCAAGUUAGGUUAGCAACAUAUGCAAAUUUUCGCUCUUUUGUAGAAUUGGCUUGUGUAGAUUUCUACCGUUUGGGCGGUGAUCCGUGUAUCUUGGCUGGAUGUAUUGGUUUAAUGCCACCACACUCUUGGGUCAUGCUAUACCUCAUAGUAUGAGCAGCAUUUACAGCAUUUACUGGUCAGAGUUAGGCUUCCUCUUGGUGAUCCAUCAAUGAAGGUUCGAGCUGCUUAUGAUGUACACCAUUCUUGGUGAAGAUGAGGGAGAAGCGGGUUUUAUUCUAGCAAAUCAGAUUAUUAAAAGAGCAUUGUGUACUCCAGGGGCCACCAUUGACAAGCCAGAUAUGCGAAAGCAACGGAAGACGGGCCACAUCAUCGUUGUUGGGUCUUCAAUGGGAAUUGUGGAAGCACAGGUUAAAUCAUUUCUCAAAGAAUAAAGUUCAAAAGAGACUCAAGGUUUGUUUUCUAAAAACAUGUGAUAGAACUGAUUACCUAAAUGUACAUGUGACCCUUUAAGUUUAUGGGUAUAGGAAUUUGCAUCUAAGUUUUACUGGCAUGUAUAAUGUUUUAACUAUUAAACAUGUUGUAAUUUAUUAUC
Molecule: long non-coding RNA, 3793 nt
Organism: Helianthus annuus (common sunflower)
Lineage: Eukaryota; Viridiplantae; Streptophyta; Magnoliopsida; Asterales; Asteraceae
Exons: 19
Source: RefSeq, a predicted model, not a curated record